UUAAAUUGAAGAGUUUGAUCAUGGCUCAGAUUGAACGCUGGCGGCAGGCCUAACACAUGCAAGUCGAACGGUAACAGGAAGCAGCUUGCUGCUUUGCUGACGAGUGGCGGACGGGUGAGUAAUGUCUGGGAAACUGCCUGAUGGAGGGGGAUAACUACUGGAAACGGUGGCUAAUACCGCAUAACGUCGCAAGACCAAAGAGGGGGACCUUCGGGCCUCUUGCCAUCAGAUGUGCCCAGAUGGGAUUAGCUAGUUGGUGAGGUAACGGCUCACCAAGGCGACGAUCCCUAGCUGGUCUGAGAGGAUGACCAGCCACACUGGAACUGAGACACGGUCCAGACUCCUACGGGAGGCAGCAGUGGGGAAUAUUGCACAAUGGGCGCAAGCCUGAUGCAGCCAUGCCGCGUGUAUGAAGAAGGCCUUCGGGUUGUAAAGUACUUUCAGCGGGGAGGAAGGUGUUGUGGUUAAUAACCGCAGCAAUUGACGUUACCCGCAGAAGAAGCACCGGCUAACUCCGUGCCAGCAGCCGCGGUAAUACGGAGGGUGCAAGCGUUAAUCGGAAUUACUGGGCGUAAAGCGCACGCAGGCGGUCUGUCAAGUCGGAUGUGAAAUCCCCGGGCUCAACCUGGGAACUGCAUUCGAAACUGGCAGGCUUGAGUCUUGUAGAGGGGGGUAGAAUUCCAGGUGUAGCGGUGAAAUGCGUAGAGAUCUGGAGGAAUACCGGUGGCGAAGGCGGCCCCCUGGACAAAGACUGACGCUCAGGUGCGAAAGCGUGGGGAGCAAACAGGAUUAGAUACCCUGGUAGUCCACGCCGUAAACGAUGUCUACUUGGAGGUUGUGCCCUUGAGGCGUGGCUUCCGGAGCUAACGCGUUAAGUAGACCGCCUGGGGAGUACGGCCGCAAGGUUAAAACUCAAAUGAAUUGACGGGGGCCCGCACAAGCGGUGGAGCAUGUGGUUUAAUUCGAUGCAACGCGAAGAACCUUACCUGGUCUUGACAUCCACGGAAGUUUUCAGAGAUGAGAAUGUGCCUUCGGGAACCGUGAGACAGGUGCUGCAUGGCUGUCGUCAGCUCGUGUUGUGAAAUGUUGGGUUAAGUCCCGCAACGAGCGCAACCCUUAUCCUUUGUUGCCAGCGAUUAGGUCGGGAACUCAAAGGAGACUGCCAGUGAUAAACUGGAGGAAGGUGGGGAUGACGUCAAGUCAUCAUGGCCCUUACGACCAGGGCUACACACGUGCUACAAUGGCGCAUACAAAGAGAAGCGACCUCGCGAGAGCAAGCGGACCUCAUAAAGUGCGUCGUAGUCCGGAUUGGAGUCUGCAACUCGACUCCAUGAAGUCGGAAUCGCUAGUAAUCGUGGAUCAGAAUGCCACGGUGAAUACGUUCCCGGGCCUUGUACACACCGCCCGUCACACCAUGGGAGUGGGUUGCAAAAGAAGUAGGUAGCUUAACCUUCGGGAGGGCGCUUACCACUUUGUGAUUCAUGACUGGGGUGAAGUCGUAACAAGGUAACCGUAGGGGAACCUGCGGUUGGAUCACCUCCUUACCUUAAAGAAGC
Molecule: ribosomal RNA, 1556 nt
Filed under: Salmonella enterica subsp. enterica serovar Inverness str. ATCC 10720
Lineage: Bacteria; Pseudomonadati; Pseudomonadota; Gammaproteobacteria; Enterobacterales; Enterobacteriaceae
Also listed under: 1 other name
Description: bacterial SSU rRNA
Rfam family: Bacterial small subunit ribosomal RNA
Source: RNAcentral